Molecule: transfer-messenger RNA, 362 nt
Filed under: Thermomicrobiales
Lineage: Bacteria; Pseudomonadati; Thermomicrobiota; Thermomicrobia
Also listed under: 1 other name
Description: JACCYK01 sp013696525 Standard tmRNA
Rfam family: transfer-messenger RNA
About the family: Bacterial tmRNA, also known as 10Sa RNA or SsrA, is named for its dual tRNA and mRNA-like properties. Its role is to liberate the mRNA from a stalled ribosome.
Source: RNAcentral
GGGGAUGUCUGGUUUCGACAGGGUCGUCCGUCAGGUAAUUGCAUGCCGAGGUGCCCGAGGCCUCGUAAAAACGGGCAAAAACUGUAACUGGCACACAGCCUUUUGCACUCGCCGCCUAAGUCACUGACCUCUAGGUAGCGCGUCCAUCCGGACCUCCCCCUUCCGGGACCGGGGUUGGGCGUCACCAAGGAAGGGUGCGGUGGUCUAGUUCGCCGGAGCGCGACCGCCCAAGAUAGUCCGGCUUACCGGAAUCGGACCCUGUCGGUGGGGGACGAUACCGGCACACAAAUCACCGACUAAGCAUGUAGUAGAUUGCCGGCUCGCGGUUCUGGACGGGGGUUCGAUUCCCCCCAUCUCCACCA